AUGCUAGAGUGUUCUCUCCUGGUGACACACACACACACACACUCUCUCUCUCUCUCUCUCUCUCUCUCACACACACACACACACACACACUCUCUCUCUCACUCUCACACACACACACUCUCACACACGCACACACUCUCUCUCUCUCUCUCACACACACACACUCUCUCUCUCUCUCUCUCUCUCUCUCACACACACACACACACACACACUCUCUCUCUCACUCUCACACACACACACUCUCACACACGCACACACUCUCUCUCUCUCUCUCACACACACACACUCUCUCUCUCUCUCUCUCUCUCUCUCACACACACACACACACACACACUCUCUCUCUCACUCUCACACACACACACUCUCACACACGCACACACUCUCUCUCUCUCUCUCACACACACACACUCUCUCUCUCUCUCUCUCUCUCUCUCACACACACACACACACACACACUCUCUCUCUCACUCUCACACACACACACUCUCACACACGCACACACUCUCUCUCUCUCUCUCACACACACACACUCUCUCUCUCUCUCUCUCUCUCUCUCACACACACACACACACACACACUCUCUCUCUCACUCUCACACACACACACUCUCACACACGCACACACUCUCUCUCUCUCUCUCACACACACACACUCUCUCUCUCUCUCUCUCUCUCUCUCACACACACACACACACACACACUCUCUCUCUCACUCUCACACACACACACUCUCACACACGCACACACUCUCUCUCUCUCUCUCACACACACACACUCUCUCUCUCUCUCUCUCUCUCUCUCACACACACACACACACACACACUCUCUCUCUCACUCUCACACACACACACUCUCACACACGCACACACUCUCUCUCUCUCUCUCACACACACACACUCUCUCUCUCUCUCUCUCUCUCUCUCACACACACACACACACACACACUCUCUCUCUCACUCUCACACACACACACUCUCACACACGCACACACUCUCUCUCUCUCUCUCACACACACACACUCUCUCUCUCUCUCUCUCUCUCUCUCACACACACACACACACACACACUCUCUUUCUCUCUCUCACACACACACACACACACACUGUAGAAAUUAAUGUGAGCUUUCAGACUCUAGUUUAGGGUUGUUU
Molecule: long non-coding RNA, 1147 nt
Filed under: Sinocyclocheilus grahami
Lineage: Eukaryota; Metazoa; Chordata; Actinopteri; Cypriniformes; Cyprinidae
Description: lncRNA (ENSSGRG00000007998.1)
Source: RNAcentral